Molecule: ribosomal RNA, 253 nt
Filed under: uncultured bacterium
Lineage: Bacteria
Description: partial 16S ribosomal RNA
Rfam family: Bacterial small subunit ribosomal RNA
Source: RNAcentral
GACGAACCGUGCGAACGUUGUUCGGAAUCACUGGGCUUAAAGGGCGCGUAGGCGGGUGGGCAAGUCUGUGGUGAAAGCCUCCAGCUUAACUGGAGAAGUGCCGUGGAUACUGCGCAUCUUGAGGAGGGUAGGGGCAUCUGGAACGGUCGGUGGAGCGGUGAAAUGCGUUGAUAUCGACCGGAACUCCGGUGGCGAAGGCGAGGUGCUGGACCCUUUCUGACGCUGAGGCGCGAAAGCCAGGGGAGCAAACGGG